This 349-nucleotide long non-coding RNA is filed under the name Rattus norvegicus (Norway rat). RNAcentral describes it as "long non-coding RNA NONRATT000968". The record is from RNAcentral. Lineage: Eukaryota; Metazoa; Chordata; Mammalia; Rodentia; Muridae.
UCUUAUCGUUGUGUGGGCCAUGAAGCUGGCCACCAACAAGUGGAGCAGAGAGGCCUUCAAAAAAUCAACCCUGCUGAUACUCCAAGACUCCGGAAAACAAACGGUGGCCACAUGACUGAAGAAUGGUGUAGAGCUUUCAAGAUGGCUCAGCAGGUGUAUGUAGAAGCAGUCAUCAGGGACCACACUAUGAAGACUGCAUACUCAGGAUGAUGGACAACAACAGAAGAGGGACCUGGUUUUGACAUCAUGGCAUCCUGGGCUAUGGGCUACACCUCCACUUUCCUCUAUGGAGAGACUAAAUACUGUCUUAGUAAAUUCCAGCUGCUAUAUAAUAAAAAUUGCAUAGAUU